GCACGAUAGCCAAGACAUGGCGGGGGGCCCACACCCCCGAGGAAAGUCCGGACUGCUUGGGACAACACACCGGCUAAUAUACCGGGCGGGGCGACCCGACGAUAAGAGCAACAGUGACGAAACGAUUAAAUUCGAGUGAAACGGGCAAUCUCUGUGUGCAGCAACCCCAAAUAGGUCACCGAUACGUGUCCCACGCUGGUGACGGGUAGGGGGCUUGACGAAUGUGGCAACACAUUUCGCAGAUUAAUCAUGUCUGCUACCAUUACCUGGGGUAUGAAAAACCACUGGGUUAUGGCAGAACAGAAUCCGGCUUAUCGGCUAUCUGCACCA
Molecule: RNase P RNA, 330 nt
Filed under: Alphaproteobacteria bacterium
Lineage: Bacteria; Pseudomonadati; Pseudomonadota; Alphaproteobacteria
Description: RNase P RNA component class A
Rfam family: Bacterial RNase P class A
About the family: Ribonuclease P (RNase P) is a ubiquitous endoribonuclease, found in archaea, bacteria and eukarya as well as chloroplasts and mitochondria.
Source: RNAcentral